GGGACUGUAACUCAGUGGUAGAGCGCUUGACUAGCACGUGUGAGGUACUGGGUUCGAUUCCCAGCACCCA
Molecule: transfer RNA, 70 nt
Filed under: Ictidomys tridecemlineatus (thirteen-lined ground squirrel)
Lineage: Eukaryota; Metazoa; Chordata; Mammalia; Rodentia; Sciuridae
Description: Spermophilus tridecemlineatus (thirteen-lined ground squirrel) tRNA
Rfam family: tRNA
About the family: Transfer RNA (tRNA) molecules are approximately 80 nucleotides in length. Their secondary structure includes four short double-helical elements and three loops (D, anti-codon, and T loops). Further hydrogen bonds mediate the characteristic L-shaped molecular structure. tRNAs have two regions of fundamental functional importance: the anti-codon, which is responsible for specific mRNA codon recognition, and the 3' end, to which the tRNAs corresponding amino acid is attached (by aminoacyl-tRNA synthetases). tRNAs cope with the degeneracy of the genetic code in two manners: having more than one tRNA (with a specific anti-codon) for a particular amino acid; and 'wobble' base-pairing, i.e. permitting non-standard base-pairing at the 3rd anti-codon position.
Source: Rfam by way of RNAcentral